Molecule: ribosomal RNA, 429 nt
Filed under: Acidobacteriota bacterium
Lineage: Bacteria; Pseudomonadati; Acidobacteriota
Description: Acidobacteria bacterium partial 16S ribosomal RNA
Rfam family: Bacterial small subunit ribosomal RNA
Source: RNAcentral
UGGGGAAUAUUGCACAAUGGGCGCAAGCCUGAUGCAGCCAUGCCGCGUGUAUGAAGAAGGCCUUAGGGUUGUAAAGUACUUUCAGUCGGGAGGAAGGCGUUGAUAUUAAUACUAUCAGCGAUUGACGUUACCGACAGAAGAAGCACCGGCUAACUCCGUGCCAGCAGCCGCGGUAAUACGGGGGGUGCAAGCGUUAAUCGGAAUUACUGGGCGUAAAGCGCACGCAGGCGGUUGAUUAAGUUAGAUGUGAAAUCCCCGGGCUUAACCUGGGAAUGGCAUCUAAAACUGGUCAGCUAGAGUCUUGUAGAGGGGGGUAGAAUUCCAUGUGUAGCGGUGAAAUGCGUAGAGAUGUGGAGGAAUACCGGUGGCGAAGGCGGCCCCCUGGACAAAGACUGACGCUCAGGUGCGAAAGCGUGGGGAGCAAACAGG